This 459-nucleotide ribosomal RNA is filed under the name uncultured bacterium. Its description in RNAcentral is "partial 16S ribosomal RNA". It matches the Rfam family "Bacterial small subunit ribosomal RNA", at positions 338 to 795 of the family's 1533-position model. The record is from RNAcentral.
CCUACGGGAGGCAGCAGUGAGGAAUAUUGGUCAAUGGCCGAGAGGCUGAACCAGCCAAGUCGCGUGAGGGAAGAAUGUCCUACGGAUUGUAAACCUCUUUUGUAAGGGAGUAAAGUCACCCACGUGUGCCUGUUUGUGAGUACCUUAUGAAAAAGCAUCGGCUAACUCCGUGCCAGCAGCCGCGGUAAUACGGAGGAUGCGAGCGUUAUCCGGAUUUAUUGGGUUUAAAGGGUGCGUAGGGGGGUUAUCAAGUCAGCGGUAAAAUCGUGGGGCUCAACUGCAUACAGCAGUUGAAACUGAGGAUCUUGAGUGGGCGAGAAGUAUGCGGAAUGCGUGGUGUAGCGGUGAAAUGCAUAGAUAUCACGAAGAACUCCGAUUGCGAAGGCAGCAUACCGGCGUGCCACUGACGCUGAUGCACGAAAGCGUGGGUAUCGAACAGGAUUAGAUACCCGUGUAGUC